UGGGGAAUAUUGGACAAUGGGCGCAAGCCUGAUCCAGCAAUGCCGCGUGUGUGAAGAAGGCCUUCGGGUUGUAAAGCACUUUUAUCAGGAGCGAAACGCUGUCGGCUAAUACCCGGCGGAACUGACGGUACCUGAGGAAUAAGCACCGGCUAACUUCGUGCCAGCAGCCGCGGUAAUACGAAGGGUGCAAGCGUUAAUCGGAAUUACUGGGCGUAAAGCGUGCGUAGGCGGUUUCUUAAGUCUGCUGUGAAAUCCCCGGGCUCAACCUGGGAAUGGCAGUGGAUACUGGGAGGCUAGAGUGUGUCAGAGGGUGGUGGAAUUCCCGGUGUAGCGGUGAAAUGCGUAGAGAUCGGGAGGAACAUCAGUGGCGAAGGCGGCCACCUGGGACAACACUGACGCUGAGGCACGAAAAGCGUGGGGAGCAAACAGGAUUAGAUACCCUGGUAGUCCACGCCCUAAAACGAUGCGAACUGGAUGUUGGUCUCAACUCGGAGAUCAGUGUCGAAGUUAACGCGUUAAGUUCGCCGCCU
This 530-nucleotide ribosomal RNA is filed under the name uncultured bacterium. RNAcentral describes it as "partial 16S ribosomal RNA". It matches the Rfam family "Bacterial small subunit ribosomal RNA", at positions 355 to 874 of the family's 1533-position model. The record is from RNAcentral.